GAAUUGCGAUAUGUAAUGUGAAUUGCAGAAUUCAGUGAAUCAUCGAAUCUUUGAACGCAUAUUGCACCCUCUGGUAUUCCGGAGGGUAUGCCUGUUUGAGUGUCAUCAUUGUCUCAAGGCAAAGGAAUUUUUUUCCUUUGCAUUUGGAUGUUGAGGGAUUGCUGGUGUUCAUUGCCAGCUCCUUUUAAAUGCAUUAGCAGGACUUUUGCAGGACCAGCUCCGGUUUGAUACAUUGCUAUCUGAGCUGUUGCUGGGAAUGCAUCUUGGUUCUGCUUCUCAACUGUCCCACUCUUGUGGACUUGUCUAUUGGACAAAUUAAUGAUAAAAUUGACCUCAGAUCAGGUAGGACUACCCGCUGAACUUAA
Molecule: unclassified non-coding RNA, 365 nt
Filed under: uncultured fungus
Lineage: Eukaryota; Fungi
Description: sequence contains ITS1
Rfam family: 5.8S ribosomal RNA (bases 1-105)
Source: RNAcentral